This 490-nucleotide ribosomal RNA is filed under the name uncultured bacterium. RNAcentral's name for it is "partial 16S ribosomal RNA". It matches the Rfam family "Bacterial small subunit ribosomal RNA", at positions 30 to 507 of the family's 1533-position model. The record is from RNAcentral.
AUUGAACGCUGGCGGCAGGCCUAACACAUGCAAGUCGAAUGGUAACAGGAAACCUCUUGCUGUGUCGCUGACGAGUGGCGGACGGGUGAUUCAUGUCUGGGAAACUGCCUGAUGGAGGGGGAUAACUACUGGAAACGGUAGCUAAUACCGCAUAACGUCGCAGAACCAAAGAGAGGGACCUUCGGCCCUCUUGCCAUCAGGUGUGCCCAGGUUGGAUUAGCUAGUAGGUGGGGUAACGGCUCACCUAGGCGACGAUCCCUAGCUGGUCUGAGAGGACGACCAGCCACACUGGAACUGAGACACGGUCCAGACUCCUACGGGAGGCAGCAGUGGGGAAUAUUGCACAAUGGGCGAAAGCCUGAUGCAGCCAUGCCGCGUGUAUGAAGAAGGCCUUCGGGUUGUAAAGUACUUUCGGCGGGGAGGAAGGGAGUAAAGUUAAUACCUUCGCGCAUUGACGUUACCCGAAGAAGAAGCACCGGCUAACUACGUG